CACGUCAGCGCGACCUGUCGACGUGGAAGGAAAUCGCUUCCUCAAGGACGCGAUUUCCUUCCACGUCGGCAGGUCGCGCUGACGUGG
Non-coding RNA from Gossypium hirsutum (cotton), 87 nucleotides. The record is from Rfam. Lineage: Eukaryota; Viridiplantae; Streptophyta; Magnoliopsida; Malvales; Malvaceae.